RNAcentral lists this transfer-messenger RNA (352 nucleotides) under Acidimicrobiales. RNAcentral describes it as "AC-35 sp005884125 Standard tmRNA". It matches the Rfam family "transfer-messenger RNA". From Rfam's summary of the family: Bacterial tmRNA, also known as 10Sa RNA or SsrA, is named for its dual tRNA and mRNA-like properties. Its role is to liberate the mRNA from a stalled ribosome. RNAcentral also lists the same sequence under 1 other name. The record is from RNAcentral. Lineage: Bacteria; Bacillati; Actinomycetota; Acidimicrobiia.
GGGGGUGACUGGCUUCGACUUCGGUAUCUGACACGGGAGAAGCGAGCCGUGGUCUCCGGAACCACGUUAAAGAGCCGGAACCAAAACAAACGCCGAGCAUCCGCUCGCGAUCGCUGCCUAAGAGCUAGCGACGUCUGACCGGCCCCAGCCCUGCGGGUCGGAUCCAGGCGCCAUCAAGCAGGGCUCACCCGAUCGGCCCCGUCAGCGGGCCGGACGGGGACACCUCAGCUGACUGGGGUCCCGCACCGGUGCCGGUGACGGAGCGGGGCCCGAGAUCCUCCCACCGGAUGCGCUCGGAGAAGGCCCGUCGAAGAGUCGGAGGACGCGGGUUCGAUUCCCGCCACCUCCACGG